AAACUGGAGAGUUUGAUCCUGGCUCAGAACUAACGCUAGCGGCGUGCCUAACACAUGCAAGUCGUACGAGAAAGUCCGUUUCGGCGGAUAAGUAAAGUGGCGCACGGGUGAGUAACGCGUGGAUAAUCUACCCUUUAGUCUGGAAUAACCCAUCGAAAGGUGAGCUAAUACCGGAUAAUACUGCAUAACUACUGUUGUGUAGUCAAAGAUGGCCUCUGCUUGCAAGCUUUCUCUGAAGGAUGAGUCCGCGUACCAUUAGCUAGUUGGUAGGGUAAUGGCCUACCAAGGCGACGAUGGUUAGCUGGUCUGAGAGGAUGAUCAGCCACACUGGAACUGAGAUACGGUCCAGACUCCUACGGGAGGCAGCAGUGAGGAAUAUUGCGCAAUGGGGGCAACCCUGACGCAGCAACGCCGCGUGAGUGAGGAAGGUUUUCGGACCGUAAAGCUCUGUCGAGCGGGAAGAAAUGCAUGAUGGCUAAUAUCCAUCAUGCUUGACGGUACCGCUAGAGGAAGCACCGGCUAACUCCGUGCCAGCAGCCGCGGUAAUACGGGGGGUGCAAGCGUUGUUCGGAAUUAUUGGGCGUAAAGAGCGUGUAGGCGGCUGGACAAGUCAGAUGUGAAAGCCCUGGGCUUAACCCAGGAAGUGCAUUUGAAACUGUCCGGCUAGAGUAGGGGAGAGGAAAGUGGAAUUCCUGGUGUAG
Molecule: non-coding RNA, 701 nt
Filed under: Deltaproteobacteria bacterium RBG_16_44_11
Lineage: Bacteria; Deltaproteobacteria
Description: bacterial SSU rRNA
Rfam family: Bacterial small subunit ribosomal RNA
Source: RNAcentral